UGUUUUUCGGUAACAAGGCCCCGCUGCCCUUAGUUGCCAUCAUUUCGACCGGGCACUACAAGGGGACUGCCGUUGAUAACCCGGAGUAAGGAGGGGAUGACCUCAAUUCCUCAUGGCCCUUAUGCCCAGGGCUACACAUGUGCUUUAAUGGGGGGUACAAAGGGUUGCGAACCCGCGAGGGGGAGCUAAUCCCAAAAAGCCCUCCUCAGUUCGGAUCGGGGUCUGCAACUCGACCCCGUGAAGCCGGAAUCGCUAGUAAUGGCGGAUCACCAUGCCGCCGUGAAUACGUUCCCGGGCCUUGUACACACCGCCCGUGGG
RNAcentral lists this ribosomal RNA (318 nucleotides) under uncultured bacterium. RNAcentral's name for it is "partial 16S ribosomal RNA". It matches the Rfam family "Bacterial small subunit ribosomal RNA", at positions 1080 to 1400 of the family's 1533-position model. The record is from RNAcentral.